RNAcentral lists this ribosomal RNA (411 nucleotides) under Batillaria attramentaria. RNAcentral's name for it is "partial 16S ribosomal RNA". It matches the Rfam family "Bacterial large subunit ribosomal RNA", at positions 1796 to 2479 of the family's 2925-position model. Lineage: Eukaryota; Metazoa; Mollusca; Gastropoda; Batillariidae. The record is from RNAcentral.
UCGCCUGUUUAACAAAAACAUGGCUCUCUGCUAAUAAAAAAUAGAGAGUCGAACCUGCCCAGUGAAGAUUUUUAACGGCCGCGGUACUCUGACCGUGCAAAGGUAGCAUAAUCAUUUGCCUUAUAAUUGAAGGCUUGUAUGAAUGGUUUGACGAGAGCAGUACUGUCUCCUCUCUAAUUGAUAGAACUUAACUUUUAGGUGAAGAGGCCUAAAUAAAAUUGAAGGACAAGAAGACCCUGUCGAGCUUAAAAGAAAAGUAGAAAAUAGAACUAUAAUUAUCUUAAAUGUGUUACUACUAAAGCUUUUUGGUUGGGGCGACUAAGGAACAGAAAAAGCUUCUUUAAAUAAAUAUACCUGUUAGUGGUGAUCCAGUAAACCUGAUUAAAAGAAUUAGUUACCGCAGGGAUAACA